UGGGGAAUAUUGCACAAUGGGGGAAACCCUGAUGCAGCGACGCCGCGUGAGUGAAGAAGUAUUUCGGUAUGUAAAGCUCUAUCAGCAGGGAAGAAAAUGACGGUACCUGACUAAGAAGCCCCGGCUAACUACGUGCCAGCAGCCGCGGUAAUACGUAGGGGGCAAGCGUUAUCCGGAUUUACUGGGUGUAAAGGGAGCGUAGACGGUGUGGCAAGUCUGAAGUGAAAGCCCGCGGCUUAACUGCGGGACUGCUUUGGAAACUGCCAUGCUAGAGUGCUGGAGAGGUAAGUGGAAUUCCUAGUGUAGCGGUGAAAUGCGUAGAUAUUAGGAGGAACACCAGUGGCGAAGGCGGCUUACUGGACAGUAACUGACGUUGAGGCUCGAAAGCGUGGGGAGCAAACAGGAUUAGAUACC
RNAcentral lists this ribosomal RNA (414 nucleotides) under uncultured bacterium. RNAcentral's name for it is "bacterial SSU rRNA". It matches the Rfam family "Bacterial small subunit ribosomal RNA", at positions 355 to 786 of the family's 1533-position model. The record is from RNAcentral.